CUUGGCAGUUGAGAUUCAGACCUUGACAGUUGUAACCGAUAGACUGGGCUGGGGCAACGCUGAUGAAAGGCAAAUUCCUGAGAGAAAAAUCACCCAGACUUUCUAGAAGUUGUUAUGAGUGGACCUGACUACCUAGAGAGAGUAAUACAGAAGCUCCGUGCCGAUCACAGCUACCUCAUUACCAUGUUCCUCCAAGAUGGCCGCCCCUGAGGAGAAUCAUCAACUGGGCUUUACGGAAGAGAGAAAUCCAAACGACCAUCAGCAACAAAUGAAAGACUGAAGUUGAAAGGAAAUCCAUAAUUUUUGAAUGCUGGCCGAGGUCUGUGACCUCUGACUGAAUGGUUUCCAAGCUCCGAAUUCCUAGGUGAUGUUUUCAUUUGUUCACACUUGCUGAAGAAGGGAAAGGCUCUCUGAUUUACGUGUAAGCAAAACAAUCUAAACAGUAGGAUAAAAUCAUGUUGGAAUGGAGUUCUGUGUGGAUGCUCCUUUGAACCAAAUCAGUUCCACAACUGACCCUGUCAGGGACAUAUAAAUUUAGCAUUUUGGUGUGGAUACAGAAGACGAGAUUAACACAGAUCAAGUAACAUGGAAAUAAAAAAGGAGACAAUGCUGGAUGAUACAGGGGCAGCCAACAAGAGGAGAAAACCCAAGCAUUGGCAAAUGCCUCAUUAUCCAAAGAACACUGAGGUGUGGAGCAAAACUGUGUUGAAUGAACUGUAGAUGGAAAUUCUCUCCUUCCCACCGAGGAGCCGCUGCAGGUUGCAGACUCCCAGAAUGCCACACUGAGAAGAGGAGGGCUAAAAUUCUAGAGCAGAAUCCCUGGGGCAGCCCCUGCUGAAGAAGGGUGCAUCUGUUGAGAAUCUCAUCACCGCCCCCACCCCGCCCAGCCUUCAAUUUAGAGGAAUUUCUAGUUCACGCAGAAUGAAGACAAGAUCACAUAAGUGAGGACGACGCCCCAUUUACAAGUGUGAUUUGGAAGACUGAAGUGGAAACCUUGGGAAGGGGCCUCAGAGUAUGUCAGCUGGGGUCAGACGGGAACAGGAGUCUGGCUCAACACACAUUUAUUGCACUCCUGUUUCAUGCCAAGAAAUGUACCAAAAUCUGGGACUGUGUAACACAGCAAAGGAAAAGACUCAUCUCCAGGAAGCCCCCUUGUCUAGGAAGAGAAAUUGAAUAUCAGCAUAAGGUGGUGAAAAGCUGUGAAGGAGAUGAGUGCCAGGAGUCCAUGGAGGAAGGAUUCUAGCCUGGACAGGUGAUUGUGGUGAAUAGUCAUGAGAAUCUGGGAACUGGCUCCUGCUCUGUCUAUCUUGGAGAUGCAUCUUUUGUGAGAAGCCAGGGCAAGAAUAGGGAGGCUUAGGCAAUGGGAAGUUUCUGAGUAGAUAAAGCAGAUGGCAGAGCAAAGGGACAGAGCCUGGCGAGAGGCUACUCCCUGUAGCAACCUGCCUAAGAGUGAGAGGAAAGCAAGGCAUGGCUAUGAGCACGUGUAGUCUCAGCUACUUGGGAAGCUGAGGCUGGGGGAUCACUUGAGCCCAGGAGUUCAAGACCAGCCUAGGCAACAUAGUGAGA
Homo sapiens (human) is the source of this 1566-nucleotide long non-coding RNA. Ensembl annotates it as long intergenic non-protein coding RNA 1206. Lineage: Eukaryota; Metazoa; Chordata; Mammalia; Primates; Hominidae. The record is from Ensembl.